This 491-nucleotide ribosomal RNA is filed under the name uncultured bacterium. RNAcentral's name for it is "partial 16S ribosomal RNA". It matches the Rfam family "Bacterial small subunit ribosomal RNA", at positions 29 to 506 of the family's 1533-position model. The record is from RNAcentral.
AGUGAACGCUGGCGGUAGGCCUAACACAUGCAAGUCGAACGGCAGCACAGUAAGAGCUUGCUCUUACGGGUGGCGAGUGGCGGACGGGUGAGGAAUACAUCGGAAUCUACUUUUUCGUGGGGGAUAACGUAGGGAAACUUACGCUAAUACCGCAUACGACCUACGGGUGAAAGCAGGGGAUCUUCGGACCUUGCGCGAUUGAAUGAGCCGAUGUCGGAUUAGCUAGUUGGCGGGGUAAAGGCCCACCAAGGCGACGAUCCGUAGCUGGUCUGAGAGGAUGAUAAGCCACACUGGAACUGAGACACGGUCCAGAUACCUACGGGAGGCGGAGGUGGGGAAUAUUGGACACUGGGCGCAAGCCUGAUCCAGCCAUACCGCGUGGGUGAAGAAGGCCUUCGGGUUGUAAAGCCCUUUUGUUGGGAAAGAAAAGCAGCAGGUUAAUACCCCGCUGUUCGGACGGUACCCAAAGAAUAAACACCGGCUAACUUCGU